GACGAACGCUGGCGGCGUGCUUAACACAUGCAAGUCGAACGGAAAGGCCCUGCUUGCAGGGUGCUCGAGUGGCGAACGGGUGAGUAACACGUGGGUGAUCUGCCCCUUACUUUGGGAUAAGCCUGGGAAACUGGGUCUAAUACUGGAUAGGACCAUGCUGUAGGUGGUGUGGUGGAAAGAUUAGUUUCGGUAAGGGAUGAGCUCGCGGCCUAUCAGCUUGUUGGUGGGGUAAUGGCCUACCAAGGCGUCGACGGGUAGCCGGCCUGAGAGGGUGGACGGCCACAUUGGGACUGAGAUACGGCCCAGACUCCUACGGGAGGCAGCAGUGGGGAAUAUUGCACAAUGGGCGCAAGCCUGAUGCAGCGACGCCGCGUGGGGGAUGACGGCCUUCGGGUUGUAAACUCCUUUCAGCCAUGACGAAGCCCUUGUGCUGACGGUAGUGGUAGAAGAAGCACCGGCUAACUACGUG
This 469-nucleotide ribosomal RNA is filed under the name uncultured bacterium. RNAcentral's name for it is "partial 16S ribosomal RNA". It matches the Rfam family "Bacterial small subunit ribosomal RNA", at positions 28 to 507 of the family's 1533-position model. The record is from RNAcentral.